UGCCGAAGAAGAUGAACACUUGAGACAAUGGACUGGGAGAGGCAGAGCCACCCUCCCUCUGGGUGGGCACCCAGCUGCCAGCGCAGCUGCAAGCGCAGCUAGAAUCAGCUUCCAGCACAGCUAGAGUAAAGCAGGCAGAGGAACGCGGAAGGGUUAGACUGCCUGAGUCUCCCGACCUUCGUCUUUCCCCUGUGCCGGAUGCUUCCUGCCCUCAAACAUCGGACUCCAGGUUCUUCAGCUUUUGGACUCUUGGACUCACACCAGGGGUUUGCCAGGGGCUCUCGGGCCUUUGGCCACAGACUGAAGGCUGCGCUAUCGGCGUCCCUACUUUUGGGGAUUGGGACUUGUACUGGCUUCCUUGCUCCUCGGCUUGCAAACAGCCUACUGUGGGACCUCACCCUGUGAUCAUGUACAUCAGGGAAAGGUGCGUCCCUCCCAGUGAAGCUGGAAGGUUGAAGUCCUGACACCUCCCGCGGUCUGAGCAGCUGCGCGAUGAACUGGAUAGUGCUGGAAUGUGGGACAACGGAGGCAGACUCAGAAGUCGGAACAUUGUUUCAGGAUCACACAGAAAGAGACAUGAUUUUCAUAGAUCUUCGUGUGAGCUCGUCUCUCUUUCAAUUAUCUCUCCUCCAAUGUUGCUUCCUUGGCUGAAGGAAAAAUGAGCCCUCAUCCCACACCCUGCAGCCUCGCCGUAGUUGCUUUGCAGCGGAGCCUGGCCGCAGAUGAACUGUUCAUGUUCUGGGUCUCCUUCCAGAACAUACCUCAAGACAAAGGAUUGCAGAUGGGCAUCGUAUUUUCCAUCUAGGCGCAUGCUCAAGGGAACUGAGAAAAUCUGUUACCUGCAUAAUAAUUAUCAUCAUCCCUGGAUGUGGAAACCAAGGCUGAAAGGGGGAAGAGGACGUGGUUUCCUGAUAGCAGAGCUCGGGUGGAAACCAGAUUUUUCCACUCCAGAUCCUGCUUUCUGCUCAUGCCGAUUCCAAUGAAUGUGAGCCUUGGGUGCUGCCUCUGACACCUGCUGUGCAGCCAGAAGCAGUGUGCAGGAUGCAGGCAGUUUGCCUCCCACACCGUGACAGGUAAUGCCGGCCUAAGCUAUCAUCCACUAAAAGAAUAGGGCUAUGGCCGGGCACGGUGGCUCACACCUGUAAUGUCAGCACUUUGGGAGGCUGAAGUGGGCAGAUCACGAGGUCAAGAGAACGAGACCAUCCUGGCCAACAUAGUGAAACCCUCUCUCAACUAAAAUAUAAAAAAAGUAGCUGGGUGUGGUGGUGCGCAUCUGUAGUCCCAGCAACUCGGGAAGCUGAUGCAAGACAAUUAUUUGAACUUGGGAGGUGG
Long non-coding RNA from Callithrix jacchus (white-tufted-ear marmoset), 1332 nucleotides. RefSeq lists it as uncharacterized. Lineage: Eukaryota; Metazoa; Chordata; Mammalia; Primates; Cebidae. The record is from RefSeq and is a predicted model, not a curated record.